RNAcentral lists this ribosomal RNA (252 nucleotides) under uncultured bacterium. RNAcentral's name for it is "partial 16S ribosomal RNA". It matches the Rfam family "Bacterial small subunit ribosomal RNA", at positions 524 to 776 of the family's 1533-position model. The record is from RNAcentral.
UACGAAGGGGGCUAGCGUUGUUCGGAAUUACUGGGCGUAAAGCGCACGUAGGCGGAUUUUAAGGCAGGGGUGAAAUCCCAGAGCUCAACUCUGGAACUGCCUUUGAUACUGGGUAUCUUGAGUAUGGAAGAGGUAAGUGGAAUUGCGAGUGUAGAGGUGAAAUUCGUAGAUAUUCGCAGGAACACCAGUGGCGAAGGCGGCUUACUGGUCCAUUACUGACGCUGAGGUGCGAAAGCGUGGGGAGCAAACAGG